Molecule: small RNA, 197 nt
Filed under: Nitrosospira multiformis ATCC 25196
Lineage: Bacteria; Pseudomonadati; Pseudomonadota; Betaproteobacteria; Nitrosomonadales; Nitrosomonadaceae
Description: Proteobacterial sRNA psRNA2
Rfam family: Proteobacterial sRNA psRNA2
Source: Rfam by way of RNAcentral
GGGUUACUCCUUUGCGCUUUCAGCGCUCAAUUUGAUAAAGAUUCGCACCUCUAUCAAACCGGGUAACCCCGCUUUUCGCAAGGCCCUACUGUCAGAUUAAAUCUGAACUACUACAGCUAAUAUAACCGGUUUGCAAACGGCAAGAACAGCCAUAUCAUCAUCCGCCUAUCCCCUCAGUUUUAUGCAAUCCGCUGCAA